Molecule: long non-coding RNA, 866 nt
Filed under: Musa acuminata (dwarf banana)
Lineage: Eukaryota; Viridiplantae; Streptophyta; Magnoliopsida; Zingiberales; Musaceae
Description: long non-coding RNA (MACU_LNC001214)
Source: RNAcentral
AAAAGUUGGCAAAAAAUUUCAAGCUUCUACUAACCCAAAUGUGCAUCUCAUCUAACCCGUUUCGGUGAGACCUCCUACUGUUCAAAUUAGGUAGCCGAGUUAACUUCAAUGACAGCAUCUUGAAGUGUCACGAAGAAUCCAAAUCACGAGAGGAGCGGCGAUGAGAGAGAAGGGUGAACACGAUUGAUACAGAAAAGGACAAAGAAAAGCAGACGAAUGAUGGAAGAAGGGGGAAGGGGAGUGGCGUCUGAGGAACAGCGGAUCCCUCGAGAUCCGAUUCCCACCGCCGGGCCAAAUAGUCAAAAAGGAAAGGGGGGCACUGCACUGCACUGCACUGCACCACACGGCACUGCACUGCACUGCACUGCACUGCACUGCACAGGAGGGUGCGUGAAACACGUUAGCUGAAAGAGAAGCAUCACUCGACGGCCUGCACAGUGAACAGGAGGGAGGGAGGGAGAUACACGAUGCACGCACCAUCUCAUGUACCGACUCCAUAGCUGCCGCGACGACAAAUCCUUUCGCCCUUUGCUUCACCUGACACGUGCGGGAUGAGCACGAUGGCCCCAACCCAUGAGAAGGAAUACCUGUAACGGAGACGUAUCGCUGGAACGGUUGCAGUUGGUAGGUAGCGGGACAUCGCCACAAAGCGGAGGGUCGGGGAGGAUGAGUGGCUGUGACGUCCGCCCUCAAUGCGGAUACUGGGAUGGAUGGAUGAGUUGAAGAAUGAGGAGGAGGAGGAGGUGUCUUUGUUGAGGACAAGGAUGCUCUCUCUGCCUUGAUACGUGUAACGGCGAGGUGGGGGACGACGGCCGGUGCCCAAGGAGGAGGGCUUGCCUUUUGGGGAGGACGGAGCAGCUUGCUCC